GUCCACGCCGUAAACGAUGAAGACUAGCCGUUUGUUCACUGAGGUGAGUGGGUGGCGAAGCUAACGCGAGAAGUCUUCCGCCUGGGGAGUACGACCGCAAGGUUAAAACUCAAAGGAAUUGACGGGGCCCGCACAAGCGGUGGAGUAUGUGGUUUAAUUCGAUGCAACGCGAAGAACCUUACCUACUUUUGACAUACAGAGGAUUCUGCAGAGAUGCGGAAGUGCCUUCGGGAACUCUGAUACAGGUGCUGCAUGGCUGUCGU
RNAcentral lists this ribosomal RNA (263 nucleotides) under uncultured bacterium. RNAcentral's name for it is "partial 16S ribosomal RNA". It matches the Rfam family "Bacterial small subunit ribosomal RNA", at positions 793 to 1055 of the family's 1533-position model. The record is from RNAcentral.